GGGGUCCAUGCACUCGUUUUCAAAUUAAAUCAGUUUGAAUGAUAAAAAUCAGUCGAAAAAUGCAUCUUUUCCCGAUAUGUCAUAGUUUGACAUCGCGAAAAUAACAUUUUACGUUAGCAACGUCAUUACCUUCCCUGUAACUGUAUCGUAUGCCCUUAAUACAAAAAUUACAAUAAUGAGCAGUGUAUGUAUAUCGUUGGUCUCAUUGGGGUCUAAGGGUGACACGGGAUUGAUGAUUUUUUGUAAGCAUGACACGUGAAAGUCAAAUUAAAACGGGAAAUCAGGUCUAGCGGGACCCGGGAAAUGACAAAAAAAUGAGAAUUGCUUACGUACAUAGUGUAAGCGGGAUAAGGGAAUCUAAAAAAACAGUAAGCGGGAUCCAGGAUCGGAACCCCCAAUGAGACCCCCUAUAUCACUUUGUGAAAGAAGAUCCGGGGUAUUUACUGCUAUAAGGCCUAAAGAGUUAUGCAUUAUCGAAAAUGUUGUACAAAAAGGGUAAAUUGUUUUUAAUUUUGCUGUCUCAUUAUUCCAUAGUAUUUUAGGUAUAUAAUGUUUAUGCUUUAACACUUAAUAUUCUUUGGAAAACUUAAAAGC
RNAcentral lists this long non-coding RNA (594 nucleotides) under Mytilus galloprovincialis (Mediterranean mussel). Lineage: Eukaryota; Metazoa; Mollusca; Bivalvia; Mytilida; Mytilidae. The record is from RNAcentral.